UUCCUGGUAGUCUAGUGGUUAGCAUUCAGUGCUUACACCACUGUGGCCUGGGUUCAACCCCUGGUCUGGGAA
Sus scrofa (pig) is the source of this 72-nucleotide transfer RNA. It matches the Rfam family "tRNA". From Rfam's summary of the family: Transfer RNA (tRNA) molecules are approximately 80 nucleotides in length. Their secondary structure includes four short double-helical elements and three loops (D, anti-codon, and T loops). NCBI's taxonomy places the organism in Eukaryota, Metazoa, Chordata, Mammalia, Artiodactyla, Suidae. The record is from Rfam.